CCCGCAUUGCCGCAGAUUCUUUACCGUUUACUGCUCUAGAAAAAAAAUAGUAGGUAGGAAGGAGAGGGCAGGCGAGGGGAAAAAGCCACACCUCUAAGUCGUUAGGCCAAGUGCUGUAGUGGCACGAGCAAGCCUGUGAGGUCUCAGACGGGGGUUCAGGCCUGGACUCCGCCACGACCACGGGCGGGGUUAAUAGAGAGGCACACAGCCAAGCCGUGCAGGUCAACCGAGAGGCACUCCACCCGCUUCCCCCCGCCCCGGCUCCAGGCGUCUACUCCCCCGGUCCGCAGUCGCGCGCCGCUUGCCUCUCCAUCCUUGGUCCAGUUCAGCCUGGCAAGCGUUGCCAUGGCAGCGCCGCGGGCUGGGAUGCGGGAGGCCGAGCGCGCUGCCCCGCUCGCCUCUUUGUGCCGCGGGGGUGUCGGUGCGCUGCCUCCAAACCCGGCCGCACCCCCCACUCAGACCCCGACCCCCGGGACGGGGUGAAGGGUAGGGUGUGGGAUUGCAGGGGCGCGGGGAGACGGGGGGAGGGCCGAGGGGAGGGCCGGGGGUGGGGCGCCUCCGCCCGCCAGCCGCUCCAGCAUUAAAAUUUCAUGGGCGCUGCAGCAGCUACAAAGACUACGCCGGCUGCGCUCGGGGGACCGGCGGGAGGGAGGCUGCGGACGAGGGCGGGGAGGAGUUUGCGAUGGGAGGCGCCUGCAGGGGCUCCCCCAGUUCUGCGCUGUGAGCCGGGGCACAAAGAGCUCUCUGCACUGGCGCCGCAAGACCGCGGACCCGAGCUGGAGGCAUCUCCCUGCCUACCCGUAUGGUUCCAGACACAUUCAUGUGGCCGCCGUGACCCUACCAGCAUCAAAGGAGUAAUCAAGAGUGCAAGCAAGUUUCUGAGACAGAGGAGAAGGAAGGGAAUUUCCGGGUUCUUGGAGAUGUUCAGGACCACACUGGGAAGCAGCCUUGCAGAUAAGAUGGGCCUGUGGGGGUCUCCGUGGGGUAGGAGCUGGGAUCAGGGCACUGCCAGAUGUGGACCGAGCGCCUUCUCUUGGAUAGAAACUGAGGAUCCGGAGGUCAACGUGCGAUGUGGUCCUGCCCUCUCAGAUCUUCGUGCUGCCCCGGCUGCAUCUCUAGGACUCCUGGCCCGCUCUCCUCCUGGACUCUGGUGGUGGUGACACAGGGAGCAGUCUUCGCUGGUUUUCUGGAACCCUGGACAGCUCCCCGAAGAUCUCAUCCUUCCUAACUCCUGGGCCUCCCCUGGAUAAAGGCCCCUCCUGGUUGGUGCUCGGCCGAGGACAGUGGCGGAGUGCGAGGGAGGCUGGCAGCCCACCAUCCAUCCCUUCUGCAUCUCCCUGGACCUGCCUGCCUGUCCCCGCCCCUGUCCAGGACUGGAGGCCCUUCCUGACCCCGUGAGGACCUCACUGCUCCUCCCAUCCCUGCUGGUGACCAGGUGGAGCUUGGCCUGGGCCCAGGCCCCACUGACCACACCCUCGGCAAGGCUGGGUCUCACAGGACCUGCAGGACGGGGGCAGGCACCUGUGGAUGGGCGUCAGGGACGAGCUGCCAGUGGGUGGAGGGUGGACGCAGCUCGGGGAGUCAGUGGGCUGGAGUCUGUCUUGCGCCCUUUGCGUGUGAGUGAUUCCCAUUUUUCUGGGGGUUUCUGGGGUUCUUCUUCCUUGCUUCUCUCCCUGAUGGUCACCAGGAGGAGGCAGUCUAGGCCUCGGGGGAGCUUGGGCCUUCUUCUAAUGCUGUGGACCUCUGGGAAGGGUUAUCCUGAAAGGAGAGGGCUUCCAAGAGAGGAGAAGACCCCGGCCAGGGGGCUUGUGAGGAGACAGACCCUGGGCUGGCUCCUGACAUCCAAAGGGAACAGUCUGGAAUCAGCCUCACCCUGGCCCAGUCUCAGACUCCUGCUCCUGGUCACCCCCAUCCCUGGGAAGCAGAGGCGGGCAGGGUAGGCUACAUACAGGUACAGCUUCCCCAUCACAGGGCUGUGGGCUCACUCACAUGCCCUCCCUUUCUCCAGUCCCCCACUGAGGGGCCGGCCUCAGUGCUUGCAGGAGGGCGGCCAUGGCCUUCCCCGGAGAAGCUCAAGAGCCUGACGUCCUUUUCCUGGGGCAGGAAGGGACGCUGUCAUAACAGAACUCCACUCCUGGAUGGCCGAACUGCAGAAAUGUAUUUUCUUAUAGUUCUGGAGGCUGGAAGUCCAAGACCAAGGUGGCAGGGAUGGUUUGUUGUGAGGCAUAUCUCCUUGGCUGGCAGACAGAACCUUCUCAUUGUAUUCUUACAUGGCCUUCUCUCUGUGCAUACGCAGAGAGAGAUGGUGUGUGUGAGAGGAGAGAGAUAUCAGGCAUCUCUUCCCUUUCCUAUAAGGGCACCGGUCCUAUGGGGUUAGGGCCUCAUCCUUAUGACCUCAUUUAGCCUUAAUUGCCUAUGCCAAAGCCCUACCUCCAAAUAUAGUCACAUCGGGGCUAUGAAUUUAGAGGGAGACACAAUUCAGUCCAUAGCAGGUGGUCACCACAAACCUGGAAGCUGGAGCCAUCUACCCUUUAGAAUUCCCACCCCCGAUGGGGAGGGGAAGGAGAAGCAGAGACAUGGGAAGCAGAAACGGUGUGGCAGGUCCUGUGCGAGGGAGGCCCUGGGACCCUUGGAGAGACACGGAAUUGGCCAAACCCAGAGCAGUGGAGAGGAGCCCCCAGGAGAGGAGGGUCCUGUGAAGAGCCUGGGCUUUGGAGCCUGAGGGUUAUGCUCUGACGUGCAACCUUGGGCAAGUCACCUCACCCCUGUGAGUCUGAUUGGCACUCUGAAGCAGGAACCAUCAGCUCACCCGGGGAGCGGGGCACAGGGAGAAGUCAGUGAGAUCUCACAGCUGGCACAGUGCUUGACUCUUAGUAGGUGCUCAAUAAACACUCCCGUCCGCCUGGGAGUUUGGAUUUAGGGCUUCUCUCUUUCGGGCACCCUGGACUGUAAACUUCGCAUCUUUGAUCCAGAGGCGUUUCUGACCAGUGCUUCCCCAGGUGUAUCUUUUUGUUUGUUUUUGGCUGUACGGGGUGGCAUGUGGGAUCUUAGUUCCUGGACCAAGGGUCGAACCUGUGCCCCUGGUGCUGAGAGUGCAGAGUCUUAACCCCUGGACUGCCAGGGAAGCCUUUCCCUCUUAUAUUUUUAAUACCCUCUCUAAUCAGGUCAAGCAAUCUACUGCAUGGCAUGGCCUCCACGGUAGCUCUGAAUGCUUCCUGGGGAAUUUAGUAUCUACCCUUCUCAUCAGAACUGAGCACCUACUGUGAGUCCUUCCCUGUGCUGCUCAUUUGAGGGGGAUAUAAGUGCAGAUACGGCCAUGAUUCAAGCUGGCAGGGUUUCACAGCCAUGCCAAGUGGAGAAAACCAGUCCACACAGAGAGUGAGCGGAUGGGGCAGAAAAGAGUCUCCUGAGGCACAGGUUCUGAGGGUACGGGUGGGUGGGUGGGAGGGAGACCCCAGAGUAGGCUGGAAAGGCUUCCCAGGGAGGCUGAACCAGUCAGGAUCUUGGAAGGAUGAGAAAGAUGUGGCUUAUCUGAGAGUUUUCCAAGGGAAAUUAGGUAAGAGAUUCCCAAAGUAAGUUAAAAGAGAUGUCAUUGGUCUU
Molecule: long non-coding RNA, 3600 nt
Filed under: Bos indicus x Bos taurus (hybrid cattle)
Lineage: Eukaryota; Metazoa; Chordata; Mammalia; Artiodactyla; Bovidae
Description: lncRNA (ENSBIXG00005030095.1)
Rfam family: Myocardial infarction associated transcript exon 1 (bases 643-777)
Source: RNAcentral